Sceloporus undulatus (fence lizard) is the source of this 476-nucleotide long non-coding RNA. RefSeq lists it as uncharacterized. The record is from RefSeq and is a predicted model, not a curated record. The transcript is spliced from 4 exons. Lineage: Eukaryota; Metazoa; Chordata; Lepidosauria; Squamata; Phrynosomatidae.
GAAUCGCACCACUGUCCCAUAGAACAGUGUCAGAUUCUGGAGCCACCGUGUCAGAUUCCCUCUUUCUCCCUGCUGUAUCCUAUGGUUGAGAAGCAGUGCUGGGAAAGCUCCAGUCCUUCACCACACCUACAUUCAUCCUCAGAGAUCCACAACCUGAGUGCCCAGGAAGUUAAUCACAGAUUGGCCUGGUCCUGUUGCAGUUUAUCUGCUGAGAACUUUCAGCCACACAUGAUAUUGCUUGGAGUCCUGGGGUGCUCCAGAAGAGGGUAUCUCCAGUUACAAGACAAACAUAAAGCACUUCCUUGUGUAAUAUUCCACAGAGAUGGCAGACCAUUUGCUGAAACAUCUCUGAUAGGGUGUCUGCUGCAGGUUGAAAUAUUUCAGCUUAUAACGGAGCAAUUUCUUCAAUGUAACUUUCCACCUUGGCAACAGCUGGAGACACCCAAGUAUGUAAAGGACAAGAAAACAAGGCAAGU